Molecule: ribosomal RNA, 376 nt
Filed under: Aedes pallidostriatus
Lineage: Eukaryota; Metazoa; Arthropoda; Insecta; Diptera; Culicidae
Description: eukaryotic LSU rRNA
Rfam family: 5.8S ribosomal RNA (bases 1-87)
Source: RNAcentral
AUGUGACUGCAGGACACAUGAACACCGACACGUUGAACGCAUAUUGCACAUCGUACAACAGUACGAUGUACACAUUUUUGAGUGCCUAUAUUUAUCCAUUCAACUAUACGUGCGUGUGCGUACGUAUGCGUAGUGACGUUUUCCCGCCUUCGGUGCGCGGUAAAACGUUGAAGAUAGUCAGACGUGGUUGCCGCUCCUUUUGGUGCGCCUCCGCGGUUGAUGAGUACAUCCCAUUUCCGCACGCGCACCCCGCGCACGCGAGAUGUUGUGCUCCAUCAGGCGAACUUGGGUGUUCGCUCUGACGAAAUGCUCUGACGUUGAACUGGUUAGCCAGUAGGCCUCAAAUAAUGUGUGACUACCCCCUAAAUUUAAGCAU